CGCAGCCGCGGUAAUUCCAGCUCCAAUAGCGUAUAUUAAAGUUGUUGCAGUUAAAAGCUCGUAGUUGAAUUUCGAGAUUGGCGUAUCGGUCGUGCCUUAAUUGGCAUGUACUGGUAGUUGUCAAUCUCCACCUUCUAGCGAACUGCUAUGCCUUUUACUAGGUGUAGUAGGGAGCUAGGACUGUUACUUUGAAAAAUUGAGUGUUUAAAGCAGGCUUUAUGCUUGAAUACAUUAGCAUGGAAUAAUGAAAUAGGACGGUAUGAUUCUAUUUUGUUGGUUUCUAGGAUCACCGUAAUGAUUAAUAGGGAUAGUUGGGGGCAUUAGUAUUCAAUUGUCAGAGGUGAAAUUCUUGGAUUUUAUUGAAGACUAACUACUGCGAAAGCAUUUGCCAAGGAUGUUUUCAUUAAUCAAGAACGAAAGUUAGGGAUCGAAGAC
This 435-nucleotide ribosomal RNA is filed under the name uncultured Glomeromycotina. RNAcentral's name for it is "bacterial SSU rRNA". It matches the Rfam family "Eukaryotic small subunit ribosomal RNA", at positions 569 to 1005 of the family's 1831-position model. The record is from RNAcentral. Lineage: Eukaryota; Fungi; Glomeromycota.